Molecule: long non-coding RNA, 2202 nt
Organism: Homo sapiens (human)
Lineage: Eukaryota; Metazoa; Chordata; Mammalia; Primates; Hominidae
Exons: 3
Source: RefSeq, a predicted model, not a curated record
AGGUUGGGUAUUUCCUUCAGCCUAUUAAAGGAAUUGGGAACCUGUGGUACCUUCCUUUGAGUGUCACGGGAGUACCAUCUCUUUACCUUGGCAAGAGCAGAUCCUUCAUAUCUGUAGUUGAAUCACACACUCUCAGAUAUCUGAGCUUGAAUUCUACAGGGACACUUAUCUCAGCUUUUGAGUUUUAGGAGAAAUAGCCUGCAGACCAGAGAAUAAGGAAAAGUUGUUUCCUGCCAAAGAACAAGCAGUAUUGUGAAAUAUAAAAUUUUAUUGUUGCGGUGAAAGAAAAUUUCAGUAUCAAAUUUUUGAAAACAGUAAGUAGACCCAUAUUUCCAUUAUAUACCAACCUCACUUUAUUUUUUAUUUGAUUUUGGCCUUAUUUUUAGAAGAGUCCAAAUCAAAUAGUUUCAAAUGCUUUAUGGAAAAUUCAUCCAUUGACAAUGUUCAUAGCAUUUACAUUUGGUUUUAUAACCAUAAUUAAGUCCUAAAUGUUUUGUAAUUAGGAUGAUUCUAAAGCUAAAAACUCAUUAACAAGAAUGACAAUAUUUGAAUAUGUGAACAAUUUUCACAACAGAGCCAAACAAUCUGUUAAGGGAUUCCUUGUUUUCAGAUAUUAAGAUUCUACUACCCCUAAGCCACUACACUCUAAAACUUUCCCAGUUGUUCAAGUUGUUCUAUAAAAGUUGGAUUCACAAAUUAAAUAAAUAUUUCCAAUAGAAUUCCUUGCUCCCAUAUCCACCCAGGGCUUUGAAAAGCUUUAUUUUUUUCUUGUUAAAGGACGGCUUAUAUACCUUUAAUUAGAGCACCAUUUUAUCCCAUUUAUUUACUUAUUAUAUAUUUUUAUUACUUUAUUGCAUUAGAAAAGUUCAAAUUAAAACUACAAUAUAAUAUAGGUACACAUCUAAUAGGAUGGCUGUAAUAAAAAAUUGACAGUAUCAAGUUUUUGGUGGGGAAGUAGAGAAAUUGGAACCCUCAGACAUUGGUGGAGGGAAUGUAAAAUCAUGUAGCCACUUUGGAACAUAAUUCAGUAGGCUUAAAACUUAGAUGAUGGGUUGAUAGGUGCAGCAAACCACCAUGACAUAUGUAUACCUAUGUAAUAAACCUGCACCUUCUGCACAUAUAUCCCAGAAUGUAAAGUAAAAUUUAAAAAAAUACAUUUGACAGAUGACUCAGUAAUUUCACUCCCAGAUAUUUGCCCAGAGAAUUGAAAAUUUGUGUGCACACACACACACACACACAUACCUCCUUAAAAUGUUUUAGUAGCUUUGCUCUUCAUUAACAAAAGUGGAAAACAACCACAAGAUUCUUCCACAGGUAAAUAGAUAAACUAUGUUAAAUAUAUAAAAUGGAAUACUAUUCAGCAAUAAAAAGGAACAGACUGCUACUGUUAUGGUAUAUGUGCUAUUUGGUACAUAUAUUAUGGUACACAUUAACCUCAAAAAUGUCAGGCUAAGUAGAAGAAGCCAGAUAUAAAUUGUCUUGUAUGGGAUAAAAUUUCAAGUUCUGGCUUCAUGUCCUUGAUGCUCCUAAGUCCUCAGAGGCCUAAUGGUAAGUCUCCUGCUCUUGCUAGAAAUGUCCCCAUUCAAAGGGAAAGGGUCCCUAUACAGCUAGUUCCUGUAUCAGCCAGACCAACUACACUCCACCUGGUCCUCAACCUAACAGUUUCACUUCCCUUACAGCCAAAAAGUUAGUCAAACAAAUUAGUCACACCUUCAAUGGGAAUCAGGGAACAUCUUACCCACCUGUUACUAGAAAGCCUGCCUCCCAGAGCCCCUACUGAUUUACUGUGCUCCAGAGUGCAUCUCUGCAUGGCCCAGUGUCCCCCUUCUCUAGUCUGUGAGUAUAUGUAACUAAUAACCUGCAGUCUGUCUCAUCUGUGCGGUAUCAGGUGGUGUGUGUUCAGCUAUUUUAUACUAUUUGAGGUGAGGGACCCCUCCUUCACCAACCAAAUUAGUAGUGGAGGUGAUCAGAACACAGAUGAUCCCAGUUGUUACCAGGGACUGGGAAAUUGAAGGAAGCAUUGAUUGGUAACAUGUACAAAGAAACUCUUUUGGUGACAGAAAUGUUUUAUAACAGGAUUGUGUGAUAGCUUACAACUCUAUAAAUUUACCAAAUAUUUAAUUACAAACAUUCUAAAUGGUGUAUCUUAUGGAAUGAAAAUUUACCUCAAUCAACUGUUAUACAAAAAAUAACUAAAUAAAA